This 1466-nucleotide long non-coding RNA is filed under the name Capsicum annuum. RNAcentral's name for it is "long non-coding RNA (CANN_LNC017138)". The record is from RNAcentral. Lineage: Eukaryota; Viridiplantae; Streptophyta; Magnoliopsida; Solanales; Solanaceae.
CGCAACUCACCCUUCUCUCUUUACCCUCUUCCUUUCUCUCUAUCAAACUUCGGUCAACCAUGACCAGUGAUAGUUCAUCAACGCCGAUGAAACCCCAAAACUAGCUCCGCUCCCCUUGAAAAAAUGUCUAAUGAACCAGUCAGCCACCAUCCACCGCUACCAACGACAACAUCAACUCCAGCGAACCCUCUACUUUCACCAUCUCUGGCGAACUUAGUAACCAGCAGCCGGCACCGCCCCUCUAUCAAAGCAGUGGCCAUAGUUGUCGCUACUGCUCCAUUCUUCUCUCUCCACCAGCAAACUGACAGUCGCCUCACUUCGCCGUCUCCGAGCUCCAGUCAAACAUCGCCGAAAAACACUAAAGUUCAUGACAGCUUUUUUGAAUACAUCCCAAGUUUUUUUUGACACAAUGAGUUUUUUUAGGAUGAAUUUAGUUAGCCGUCAAUCAUUCUCAAGUCCGAUGUAUGUCUUGUGAUUGGGUCCGUAUCUUCGAUUCAAAAUUAAUGGGGUGCACAGUUAUGCUCAAUUUUGAACUUUGUCCAGUGUGGUAUUUGCUUGCUAAAUGUGAUAAUUUGAUUUGUUUUUCUCAUUAGAAUUGAAAUUGUGUGAUAGCUAUUUGUUAAAAUUGUGAUGUCAUUUGUAAUUGAUUCUAGCUGGGCUAUAAUUGGUUUUCUUCUCUCAUUUUUACUUCUCUAUUAAUGGUAAACGUAAUUGAUUGAUUCACUAUAUUUAGUUAAGGAAAUUUGGAUUGAUUGAUAUUUUGUCUUUCCUUUUAUCUAUUUUGACUGAUUUUAUAUUAUUAAGUGUGAUUUUUACAUUUAAGAAAAAUAUCGUUGAUAUAUUACAUCAACUAUUCUUCUUCCCUUUUAUCAUUGUGAUCCCUUCACUAUAUAAAGGCCACCCCUCAUUUGUAUUCAGACACCUUUUAUCAUCCCUUCUAUCCUCUCUUUACAAAAAUAAGAAAACAUAAUUGCAUUCUCCUCUUUUAUGGCUUAACAUCAUCAACUCGCAAGACAUAUAUUCUCAAUUGCUGCUUUGGGGAUUGACUGGCUUCUAUUGAUUCUAUUCAAGGCUAUAGUUUUCUUCUUCAUUCUUUCCCAGUUUGAUUUUGCGUCUUUGUUUUUACGCUUAAGUGGUAUGUUUUUUUUUUCAUAAUACCUUUAAGUAUUGAUCGUCACAAAUUAUUUGUUUGUGGCUCUUACAAAUAAUGUUCUUGAUAUGGUAUCUAUAAUCUGUCACUUUGUUUAUCUUGUUCACAUUGACUUGACUAUUGUAAUAUUUGUAACAUGUUCUCGGGGUGAAUUUAUUCGUUGGUUGUGAAAACAUGUUUAUAAGGAUAACAUGAACAUUAAAACUUCUUUGAAUGAGUUCUAUUAGUUGGUUCUUUUGUGCACUUUGAUCAUGCUAACAUACUUAUGGAAGAAAGUUAAAUUCGAAGGGUCUCUGGGCUUUUGGGGAGGACGGAC